UUAAUAGUUGCAGUCGCAGGAGUCAUAUCCUUGGCCCUGUCCAGGCUCACCUGGCAGUAAUGGUGGCGUCUCUCCCUGACCCUGACCCUGACCUCCCCGGAAAAUGUUGCUAAGAAAUAUACGUCACCUCGUCCCUAUCUUUUUGAGCUGCUCUUGCUGUCGCUCUACAUUGUGCCAGCUGUCUUUCCAUUUCGGCAAUCUGUCCCUGCAUCGAACGUCUUACCGUCUCGCAUCUCUCUUUUGUUCUGGCUACUUGACGGGCUGAAUCCUCACGCACCUACAGAAUAACAUUACAGGAGAUAUGCACGAGUUCCGUCUAAACACAGCUUUCGGACAACAUAUGCGACGCUAUUCUGACAUGAAAAAUUGCUUGAAAAACUGAAUGCAAAUGCAGAAAAAAAUGCAGAUCAGUAAUGUUGCGUCGGAGAUAAUUUUCAUAGAGUGUAUAAUGUUUUGAAAUGCUAAUUGACAAGUACGAAUAUAAUUGUUGAGCCCUUAUCCCCGAAUUAACUGCAGAGUUAAAUAUUUUCAACAAUUUCUGCAAAGCGUAUGGAUUUCCCAACUGAUUAUCACAAACAGUCGUACUUGUAUGAAUAAUUGUUUGCGUUU
This 609-nucleotide long non-coding RNA is filed under the name Neodiprion lecontei (redheaded pine sawfly). RNAcentral's name for it is "uncharacterized LOC124292808". Lineage: Eukaryota; Metazoa; Arthropoda; Insecta; Hymenoptera; Diprionidae. The record is from RNAcentral.